Molecule: non-coding RNA, 78 nt
Organism: Desmophyllum pertusum
Lineage: Eukaryota; Metazoa; Cnidaria; Anthozoa; Scleractinia; Caryophylliidae
Source: the annotation of a GenBank genome assembly
UCUCCUGUAGCUCUGUGGUAGAGCGUCGACCGGUGAACGGCGGAAGGUCAUAGGUUCGACUCCUGUUGCAUGGGGGAA